Pseudophryne corroboree (corroboree frog) is the source of this 221-nucleotide long non-coding RNA. RefSeq lists it as uncharacterized. The transcript has 3 exons. The record is from RefSeq and is a predicted model, not a curated record. Lineage: Eukaryota; Metazoa; Chordata; Amphibia; Anura; Myobatrachidae.
UUCAGAAUUACUCUAAAUUUCAAAAAGGUUAUACCCAGUGGAUAAUCAGUGAAAAGGGUUACUUCCAAUUCAAUUUAAAUUGAUACCCCAUAUGGUGAAAUUUGGUCCGAUACUAUUUUAAGCAUUGUUAAAUUGCCUUUUUGAAGACACGAUAAGAUGUAUGUCCAUAUUGUGAUUCUUUGAUUAAUACACCCCUGAUGAAGUCUGUAGGAUGAAACGCA